GCACUCACUCUGGCAGCACAUAUACUAAAAUUGGAACAAUACAGGGAAGAUUAGCAUGGACCCUGAACAAGAAUGACAUAUAAAUUUGUACAGCAUUUCAAUUUCUA
Molecule: small nuclear RNA, 107 nt
Filed under: Microcebus murinus (gray mouse lemur)
Lineage: Eukaryota; Metazoa; Chordata; Mammalia; Primates; Cheirogaleidae
Source: RNAcentral